This 380-nucleotide ribosomal RNA is filed under the name uncultured cyanobacterium. Its description in RNAcentral is "bacterial SSU rRNA". It matches the Rfam family "Bacterial small subunit ribosomal RNA", at positions 376 to 770 of the family's 1533-position model. The record is from RNAcentral. Lineage: Bacteria; Bacillati; Cyanobacteriota.
CGCAAGCCUGACGGAGCAAGACCGCGUGGGGGAGGAAGGCUCUUGGGUUGUAAACCCCUUUUCUCAGGGAAGAACACAAUGACGGUACCUGAGGAAUCAGCCUCGGCUAACUCCGUGCCAGCAGCCGCGGUAAUACGGAGGAUGCAAGCGUUAUCCGGAAUCAUUGGGCGUAAAGCGUCCGCAGGUGGCUGUUCAAGUCUGCUGUCAAAGACAGAAGCUUAACUUCUGAAAGGCAGUGGAAACUGGAGAGCUAGAGUACGGUAGGGGUUGAGGGAAUUCCCAGUGUAGCGGUGAAAUGCGUAGAUAUUGGGAAGAACACCAGUGGCGAAGGCGCUCAACUGGGCCGUAACUGACACUCAGGGACGAAAGCUAGGGGAGCG